RNAcentral lists this ribosomal RNA (637 nucleotides) under uncultured bacterium. RNAcentral describes it as "bacterial SSU rRNA". It matches the Rfam family "Bacterial small subunit ribosomal RNA", at positions 202 to 835 of the family's 1533-position model. The record is from RNAcentral.
CAAAGGAAGCGAUUCCGGCGGGGGAUGGGCAUGCGGCGCAUUAGCUAGUCGGCGGGGUAACGGCCCACCGAGGCGACGAUGCGUAGGGGUUCUGAGAGGAAGGUCCCCCACACUGGUACUGAGACACGGACCAGACUCCUACGGGAGGCAGCAGUGAGGAAUAUUGGUCAAUGGGCGGGAGCCUGAACCAGCCAAGUCGCGUGAGGGAAGACGGUCCUAUGGAUUGUAAACCUCUUUUGCCGGGGAGCAACGGGGUCCUUGCGAGGGCCUAAUGAGAGUACCCGGAGAAAAAGCAUCGGCUAACUCCGUGCCAGCAGCCGCGGUAAUACGGAGGAUGCGAGCGUUAUCCGGAUUUAUUGGGUUUAAAGGGUGCGUAGGCGGGCUGUUAAGUCAGCGGUCAAAUGUCGGGGCUCAACCCCGGCCUGCCGUUGAAACUGGUGGCCUCGAGUGGGCGAGAAGUAUGCGGAAUGCGUGGUGUAGCGGUGAAAUGCAUAGAUAUCACGCAGGACUCCGAUUGCGAAGGCAGCAUACCGGCGCCCGACUGACGCUGAGGCACGAAAGCGUGGGUAUCGAACAGGAUUAGAUACCCUGGUAGUCCACGCAGUAAACGAUGAAUGCUAGCUGUCCGGGGCUUCGG